AACCUCCGCAAUGUGAGAAAUCGCGACGGGGGGAUCCCAAGUGCCAUUCUUAACGGGAUGGCUUUUCUUAAGUGUAAAAAGCUUUUGGAAUAAGAGCUGGGCAAGACCGGUGCCAGCCGCCGCGGUAACACCGGCAGCUCUAGUGGUAGCUGUUUUUAUUGGGCCUAAAGCGUUCGUAGCCGGUUUGAUAAGUCACUGGUGAAAUCCUGUAGCUUAACUGUGGGAAUUGCUGGUGAUACUGUUGAACUUGAGGUCGGGAGAGGUUAGCGGUACUCCAGGGUAGAGGUGAAAUUCUGUAAUCCUGGGAGGACCACCUGUGGCGAAGGCGGCUAACUGGAACGAACCUGACGGUGAGGGACGAAAGCUAGGGGCGCGAACCGGAUUAGAUACCCGGGUAGUCCUAGCCGUAAACGAUGCGGACUUGGUGUUGGGAUGGCUUUGAGCCGCUCCGGUGCCGAAGGGAAGCUGUUAAGUCCGCCGCCUGGGAAGUACGGUCGCAAGACUGAAACUUAAAGGAAUU
RNAcentral lists this ribosomal RNA (520 nucleotides) under uncultured bacterium. RNAcentral's name for it is "bacterial SSU rRNA". It matches the Rfam family "Archaeal small subunit ribosomal RNA", at positions 345 to 866 of the family's 1478-position model. The record is from RNAcentral.